GCAGUCGAGCGGAACGAGAUAUCUGAACCUUCGGGGAACGAUAUCGGCGUCGAGCGGCGGACGGGUGAGUAAUGCCUGGGAAAUUGCCCUGAUGUGGGGGAUAACCAUUGGAAACGAUGGCUAAUACCGCAUAAUAGCUUCGGCUCAAAGAGGGGGACCUUCGGGCCUCUCGCGUCAGGAUAUGCCCAGGUGGGAUUAGCUAGUUGGUGAGGUAAGGGCUCACCAAGGCGACGAUCCCUAGCUGGUCUGAGAGGAUGAUCAGCCACACUGGAACUGAGACACGGUCCAGACUCCUACGGGAGGCAGCAGUGGGGAAUAUUGCACAAUGGGCGCAAGCCUGAUGCAGCCAUGCCGCGUGUGUGAAGAAGGCCUUCGGGUUGUAAAGCACUUUCAGUCGUGAGGAAGGUAGUGUGUUUAAUAGAUGCAUUAUUUGACGUUAGCGACAGAAGAAGCACCGGCUAACUCCGUGCCAGCAGCCGCGGUAAUACGGAGGGUGCGAGCGUUAAUCGGAAUUACUGGGCGUAAAGCGCAUGCAGGUGGUGUGUUAAGUCAGAUGUGAAAGCCCGGGGCUCAACCUCGGAAUUGCAUUUGAAACUGGCAUACUAGAGUACUGUAGAGGGGGGUAGAAUUUCAGGUGUAGCGGUGAAAUGCGUAGAGAUCUGAAGGAAUACCGGUGGCGAAGGCGGCCCCCUGGACAGAUACUGACACUCAUAUG
RNAcentral lists this ribosomal RNA (715 nucleotides) under Vibrio sp. Its description in RNAcentral is "bacterial SSU rRNA". It matches the Rfam family "Bacterial small subunit ribosomal RNA", at positions 57 to 753 of the family's 1533-position model. Lineage: Bacteria; Pseudomonadati; Pseudomonadota; Gammaproteobacteria; Vibrionales; Vibrionaceae. The record is from RNAcentral.